Molecule: ribosomal RNA, 402 nt
Filed under: uncultured bacterium
Lineage: Bacteria
Description: bacterial SSU rRNA
Rfam family: Bacterial small subunit ribosomal RNA
Source: RNAcentral
UGGGGAAUAUUGGACAAUGGGCGCAAGCCUGAUCCAGCCAUGCCGCGUGAGUGAUGACGGCCUUAGGGUUGUAAAGCUCUUUCGCCAGGGACGAUAAUGACGGUACCUGGAUAAGAAGCCCCGGCUAACUUCGUGCCAGCAGCCGCGGUAAUACGAAGGGGGCUAGCGUUGUUCGGAAUCACUGGGCGUAAAGCGCACGUAGGCGGAUCUUUAAGUCAGGGGUGAAAUCCCGAGGCUCAACCUCGGAACUGCCUUUGAUACUGGGGAUCUCGAGUUCGGGAGAGGUGAGUGGAACUGCGAGUGUAGAGGUGAAAUUCGUAGAUAUUCGCAAGAACACCAGUGGCGAAGGCGGCUCACUGGCCCGAUACUGACACUGAGGUGCGAAAGCGUGGGGAGCAAACA